GAUGAUACUCAAUGGAGUAAGUUAGAUAACUCCUCUCAGCCACUCACUUGGUAUAAGACUCAGUUUGAUGCACCUCCGGGUGAUGACCCUAUCGCCCUGAACCUUGGUUCCAUGGGGAAGGGUGCAGUUUGGGUUAACGGCUGGGGCAUUGGCCGGUACUGGGUCUCCUUCCUCACCGGAAAAGGGGAGCCUUCACAGAAAUGGUAUCAUGUGCCACGUUCCUUCCUCAAGCCAACAGGAAACCUGUUGGUUAUCUUUGAAGAAGAAACAGGAAACCCGGUUGGGAUUAGUCUGGAUGCUGUUUCCAUUACCAAAACUUAACUUUGUUGGUCCAUGCUCAAUUUCUUUCUUUUAUGAGUCCUAGGAACAAUUGUGCAAUGCUUCCAUUAGUAAUUGGUUCAUGUCAAUUGUCCAACAAUCUAAUUCAAGCCAAAGUUAUCUCGCUAUAAAAUUAAUC
Cucurbita pepo subsp. pepo (vegetable marrow) is the source of this 457-nucleotide non-coding RNA. Lineage: Eukaryota; Viridiplantae; Streptophyta; Magnoliopsida; Cucurbitales; Cucurbitaceae. The record is from RefSeq and is a predicted model, not a curated record.